UCGUUGAAACAUCGGUUCCCGUAAAAUCAGCGAAGUUAAGCAAUAUCGAAACUGGUCAGUACUGAGAUGGGUGACCGCUUGGAAAUAUCAAGUUUC
Acanthosepion pharaonis is the source of this 96-nucleotide non-coding RNA. Lineage: Eukaryota; Metazoa; Mollusca; Cephalopoda; Sepiida; Sepiidae. The record is from the annotation of a GenBank genome assembly.